This 2904-nucleotide ribosomal RNA is filed under the name Escherichia coli. RNAcentral describes it as "23S ribosomal RNA". It matches the Rfam family "Bacterial large subunit ribosomal RNA". Lineage: Bacteria; Pseudomonadati; Pseudomonadota; Gammaproteobacteria; Enterobacterales; Enterobacteriaceae. RNAcentral also lists the same sequence under 1 other name. The record is from RNAcentral.
GGUUAAGCGACUAAGCGUACACGGUGGAUGCCCUGGCAGUCAGAGGCGAUGAAGGACGUGCUAAUCUGCGAUAAGCGUCGGUAAGGUGAUAUGAACCGUUAUAACCGGCGAUUUCCGAAUGGGGAAACCCAGUGUGUUUCGACACACUAUCAUUAACUGAAUCCAUAGGUUAAUGAGGCGAACCGGGGGAACUGAAACAUCUAAGUACCCCGAGGAAAAGAAAUCAACCGAGAUUCCCCCAGUAGCGGCGAGCGAACGGGGAGGAGCCCAGAGUCUGAAUCAGUGUGUGUGUUAGUGGAAGCGUCUGGAAAGGCGCGCGAUACAGGGUGACAGCCCCGUACACAAAAAUGCACAUAUUGUGAGCUCGAUGAGUAGGGCGGGACACGUGGUAUCCUGUCUGAAUAUGGGGGGACCAUCCUCCAAGGCUAAAUACUCCUGACUGACCGAUAGUGAACCAGUACCGUGAGGGAAAGGCGAAAAGAACCCCGGCGAGGGGAGUGAAAAAGAACCUGAAACCGUGUACGUACAAGCAGUGGGAGCCUCUUUUAUGGGGUGACUGCGUACCUUUUGUAUAAUGGGUCAGCGACUUAUAUUCUGUAGCAAGGUUAACCGAAUAGGGGAGCCGAAGGGAAACCGAGUCUUAACUGGGCGUUAAGUUGCAGGGUAUAGACCCGAAACCCGGUGAUCUAGCCAUGGGCAGGUUGAAGGUUGGGUAACACUAACUGGAGGACCGAACCGACUAAUGUUGAAAAAUUAGCGGAUGACUUGUGGCUGGGGGUGAAAGGCCAAUCAAACCGGGAGAUAGCUGGUUCUCCCCGAAAGCUAUUUAGGUAGCGCCUCGUGAAUUCAUCUCCGGGGGUAGAGCACUGUUUCGGCAAGGGGGUCAUCCCGACUUACCAACCCGAUGCAAACUGCGAAUACCGGAGAAUGUUAUCACGGGAGACACACGGCGGGUGCUAACGUCCGUCGUGAAGAGGGAAACAACCCAGACCGCCAGCUAAGGUCCCAAAGUCAUGGUUAAGUGGGAAACGAUGUGGGAAGGCCCAGACAGCCAGGAUGUUGGCUUAGAAGCAGCCAUCAUUUAAAGAAAGCGUAAUAGCUCACUGGUCGAGUCGGCCUGCGCGGAAGAUGUAACGGGGCUAAACCAUGCACCGAAGCUGCGGCAGCGACGCUUAUGCGUUGUUGGGUAGGGGAGCGUUCUGUAAGCCUGUGAAGGUGUGCUGUGAGGCAUGCUGGAGGUAUCAGAAGUGCGAAUGCUGACAUAAGUAACGAUAAAGCGGGUGAAAAGCCCGCUCGCCGGAAGACCAAGGGUUCCUGUCCAACGUUAAUCGGGGCAGGGUGAGUCGACCCCUAAGGCGAGGCCGAAAGGCGUAGUCGAUGGGAAACAGGUUAAUAUUCCUGUACUUGGUGUUACUGCGAAGGGGGGACGGAGAAGGCUAUGUUGGCCGGGCGACGGUUGUCCCGGUUUAAGCGUGUAGGCUGGUUUUCCAGGCAAAUCCGGAAAAUCAAGGCUGAGGCGUGAUGACGAGGCACUACGGUGCUGAAGCAACAAAUGCCCUGCUUCCAGGAAAAGCCUCUAAGCAUCAGGUAACAUCAAAUCGUACCCCAAACCGACACAGGUGGUCAGGUAGAGAAUACCAAGGCGCUUGAGAGAACUCGGGUGAAGGAACUAGGCAAAAUGGUGCCGUAACUUCGGGAGAAGGCACGCUGAUAUGUAGGUGAAGUCCCUUGCGGAUGGAGCUGAAAUCAGUCGAAGAUACCAGCUGGCUGCAACUGUUUAUUAAAAACACAGCACUGUGCAAACACGAAAGUGGACGUAUACGGUGUGACGCCUGCCCGGUGCCGGAAGGUUAAUUGAUGGGGUCAGCGCAAGCGAAGCUCUUGAUCGAAGCCCCGGUAAACGGCGGCCGUAACUAUAACGGUCCUAAGGUAGCGAAAUUCCUUGUCGGGUAAGUUCCGACCUGCACGAAUGGCGUAAUGAUGGCCAGGCUGUCUCCACCCGAGACUCAGUGAAAUUGAACUCGCUGUGAAGAUGCAGUGUACCCGCGGCAAGACGGAAAGACCCCGUGAACCUUUACUAUAGCUUGACACUGAACAUUGAGCCUUGAUGUGUAGGAUAGGUGGGAGGCUUUGAAGUGUGGACGCCAGUCUGCAUGGAGCCGACCUUGAAAUACCACCCUUUAAUGUUUGAUGUUCUAACGUUGACCCGUAAUCCGGGUUGCGGACAGUGUCUGGUGGGUAGUUUGACUGGGGCGGUCUCCUCCUAAAGAGUAACGGAGGAGCACGAAGGUUGGCUAAUCCUGGUCGGACAUCAGGAGGUUAGUGCAAUGGCAUAAGCCAGCUUGACUGCGAGCGUGACGGCGCGAGCAGGUGCGAAAGCAGGUCAUAGUGAUCCGGUGGUUCUGAAUGGAAGGGCCAUCGCUCAACGGAUAAAAGGUACUCCGGGGAUAACAGGCUGAUACCGCCCAAGAGUUCAUAUCGACGGCGGUGUUUGGCACCUCGAUGUCGGCUCAUCACAUCCUGGGGCUGAAGUAGGUCCCAAGGGUAUGGCUGUUCGCCAUUUAAAGUGGUACGCGAGCUGGGUUUAGAACGUCGUGAGACAGUUCGGUCCCUAUCUGCCGUGGGCGCUGGAGAACUGAGGGGGGCUGCUCCUAGUACGAGAGGACCGGAGUGGACGCAUCACUGGUGUUCGGGUUGUCAUGCCAAUGGCACUGCCCGGUAGCUAAAUGCGGAAGAGAUAAGUGCUGAAAGCAUCUAAGCACGAAACUUGCCCCGAGAUGAGUUCUCCCUGACCCUUUAAGGGUCCUGAAGGAACGUUGAAGACGACGACGUUGAUAGGCCGGGUGUGUAAGCGCAGCGAUGCGUUGAGCUAACCGGUACUAAUGAACCGUGAGGCUUAACCUU